RNAcentral lists this ribosomal RNA (501 nucleotides) under uncultured sediment archaeon. RNAcentral describes it as "bacterial SSU rRNA". It matches the Rfam family "Archaeal small subunit ribosomal RNA", at positions 1 to 509 of the family's 1478-position model. The record is from RNAcentral.
UCCGGUUGAUCCUGCCGGACCUGACUGCUAUCGGAUUGAUACUAAGCCAUGCGAGUCAUUGUAGCAAUACAAGGCAGACGGCUCAGUAACGCGUAGUCAACCUACCCUAUGGACGGGAAUAACCUCGGGAAACUGAGUAUAAUGCCCGAUAGAACACUAUACCUGGAAUGGUUUGUGUUCCAAAUGAUUUAUCGCCGUAGGAUGGGACUGCGGCCUAUCAGUUUGUUGGUGAGGUAAUGGCCCACCAAGACUAUUACAGGUACGGGCUCUGAGAGGAGUGGCCCGGAGAUGGGUACUGAGACACGGACCCAGGCCCUAUGGGGCGCAGCAGGCGAGAAAACUUUGCAAUGUGCGAAAGCACGACAAGGUUAAUCCGAGUGGUUUCUGCUAAAGGAACCUUUUGACAGUCCUAGAAACACUGUUGAAUAAGGGGUGGGCAAGUUCUGGUGUCAGCCGCCGCGGUAAAACCAGCACCUCAAGUGGUCAGGAUGAUUAUUGGGC